CCUGCACAGCCCAAUCUGCUUUCCGUCGGGUGGCAUAGGAGGGUGUCGUUCCCCACACCCUCAGUACCCCUGCCCAGCAUCAACUUAAUCAUUUUGGCCAGUCUGCUGAGCGGACAGGGCCAUCUCGCUGUGCCAUCCUCUUUCUGUAACCUGAGUGAGCCCGAGCAUCAUUUUGCAGGACCGCUGGCUAUAUGCACUUCUUGGCUGUGACCUGGGCGCCCAAGGUGACUGGCUGGUAACCCUGCCCACAAGGUCAGGAGCCGACUGAGGGCCUGAGAGCCCUAACCCUAACCCACCCCCUGGGCCAGGAAGCAGGCGGAUGAGAAAGGAGGCAGCCCUCCUGAAAGGGGGCAGGAGGCUUGGGACGGAGGUGAACUGGACAUCGGACACAGGCGCUGGGGAGAAGAUGCAGAAUGCAGGCAGACGCAAAUCCAAACCACGAGGAGAUUGCACUUCACACCCACUGGGACGGCUAUAACCAAAGUCAGGUCGCAAGUGUUGAGGUGCUGCCAAAGCCAGGGGAAGUUCAUCAUCCCCCCGGACCCCCAGAAGACAGAGGCUGCAGGCUGCAGGCUGCAGCACACACACCAGGAAACUCGAGAAUAAAAUGACAACGGAUGCCUAGAUUUGGGCGCCGUCUGGUGCAAAGGCGUCCUUGAUGGAACGGCGUGCUACCGAAGGGCUACAGCGCGAUCUGGCUUUGAUGACAAGCCAAUAGUCCUAAGAACGCGCUAGAAAUUGGGGUCUUUCUUCUUUUCCUCCCGGCUGAUUAUAUUGUAAAUGAGCGGAUGUUACAGAAGCAGAAGAGAGCAAGAGCGAUGUCCUUUCUGAGAAGGGGAACCCGCGUGGGCACCAAAAGGGAGCUCCGCGGGC
Molecule: long non-coding RNA, 873 nt
Organism: Equus quagga
Lineage: Eukaryota; Metazoa; Chordata; Mammalia; Perissodactyla; Equidae
Exons: 3
Source: RefSeq, a predicted model, not a curated record